CUCUAGUCUGGUAAAACAUCUAAAAUGUCAUAAUUACUUACUCAUAAUGGCGGCUGCAAUGAAAAUGAGAUAAUGUAUUGAUGAAUUUAUUUGUGUUUUUGUAGGUAUUAUUUAUAAAUCUUUUAUUGAUACCUACUUAAUAUACCGUUUGGUAUGGACCAUGAUACUAUAAAUAAAGUUAUUUAUAGUAUCAAGUGUUAUUUAUAGUAUCAUGGUAUGGACUACUGUUCUAGCUCCUAGUAAAGUUUAAACCGUUCAAACUAUAAAUUUAGGUUUUAUGGUGCAUAAUUUUUUAAUAGACGAAAAUACAAUAGUUCCUAAUUUGGAUCAAACUGAAGAUAAUUCUAAUGCAAAUAUUUUAGCACAAAUAUCAAAACAAAAUAAAAACACAAAUAAUCAACCUCAAACAGUCAACGUAAAAUUCUGGUUAACAUUAGAAUGUUUAUAAAUUUUAUAAAAUCUUUAAAAUCAGCUGUAGCUGUAGAUGCAGUACUACCAUAACGUGACACAGGGUGACAAACAAAAUUUCGACCAAUCACGUGCCGAAUUUCAUACAAUUUUCGAUACAAGAACUUGCAUAGUGUCAUACAGGGCACAAAUGUACGUACAAGAAAAUGCAUAGUGUCAUACAGCCUUAAGACCGCUUUACAGCUUGCAAUUUCUUGCAUACAAGACUUUCUAGGUACGGCUCUUGAAUAUUCAUGGGAGAGAUUAAAUGUCCAGCAAACGACGGCAAUGUUGCCAGAUUCCUUUUAGCGGGAAUUUUAAAAUUGUAUAGCAGUUUGGUUUUAAAUUUGACAGUUCUGUUUUCUCAAGUCAAAAAUCUUAACCUUACUUUUACAAGUGAUUAGGAUUAUUAUUAUUUUAUUUACAUGUAAAUUGAAACAAUAAAUAUUGUGCUGUGUCAUAAUUUAAAACUCAUUAUGUUGCAGUCUUUUCCAGUUGAUAAAAUUGCAAUUCAAAAACUUUUAGAUUUGCACUGUAUGGAUGGCACAGGAAGAGAAAAGAGUACAAGAACAUGAAACAUCUUAUUAUGAGUGUAUAUGUAUGUGAUCCUCAAAAAAUUAUUUUACAAAACAAGAUAGAGAAAGAGCUUUAAAAUCCCAAGGAUCCUGCAAAAUGUUUAUUUGUUGUACUAGUCGAAUAAUAGUAUCUAAAAAUAUUGAAACUAUUUUAAAACACAUUACGGGCAUGAGGAUAAUAUAGAGCACUUACAUAAAUACCAAAAUCAGAUAAAUAUUUCUUCAAAGUUUAUUUUGAGACUUUCUUCAAAAAUUAAACUUCAGACUGUUCAGGAUAGCAUAGGAGGCGAAUUAAAAAGAAUUAAUUUACUUACAAGAAAAGAUAUCAGAAACAUUAAACUCUCUUAUGGCAUUGAUUUGAAAGACGGGUAUAUGUACAAUGAUGAUGCAACGUGUUUAUUUUUGGAUUGAAUGCUUACAGACUCAUGUCCAAUAUUAUUUUACAAACAACAUGACAUACUAAUGGAUAUUCAUUCUGAAUUUAACAUUUAUGAUUUUUGUCUUAUUUUCCUUAAUACUGUGCCAAAAGGAAAUGUUAAUUAAGUUUGGUAAAUCCUUUAUCGCAAUCGAUGGAACUCAUGGGCUCAAUCCCUAUGACUUUCAACUUAUGACAGUAUUAGUAAAAGAUGAAUUUGGGAAUGGAUUUUGUACUGCUUUCUUAUUUUCAAAUAGAAAAGAUACCUACUUUAAUUUACCAAUUUUUUUAAAUACAUGUCUGUGUUGGUAUUAUAUGUAUAGUCAAAUGUUUUCAUAUCAGGCAUAAGCGACACCUUUUACAAUGCCUCGUCAAAUGUAAUGGGUAUUGCUCCUAAUAGACUGUUAAGUGCCUGGCACAUAUUAUAGGGCAUGGUAAGUAAAUCUUAAUAAAAUAUCUGAUUCUGAAAAAAAUCCUAUUAUGUAUACAAGAUGUAUUAAUGAUGGUUUAGAGUAGAGAGUAGUAAUAGCUUUUUGGGUAGACUCCUAAGUGAUGCAGAUACAUACAAUUUUAGUAAGUAUUUCCAGUAGAAUUACUGCAAUAACAUCCAACAAUGGGCCUAUUGUUAUAGGAAGGGGUUGUGGAAUUAAUACCAAUAUGACCAUUCAAAAUUUUCAUAAAAUUUUGGAUAAAAGGGUAUCCAUUAGUUGUUAUCAGUUAAGUUUAAAACUUGGCACUCAUGGAGAGCUAUACCAUAAUAUACAGCAUGUCUACUAAGUUGGAAACAUAUGGGAAACUUUUUUAUUAUUAAUUUCACGAAAAAAAGUUUUUCUUUAUAAAAAGUUCUGCAUGCCCCAAAACCUAAGAUUCAAUCAUCAGAUAAUAAAUUAUCUCAAUAUUAUACGAGGUAUGUCAAAAAAUAUGAAUUUCGGUCAAGGGUAAAGUACAGUGGAACCUCGAUAACUCGGAUUAAUCGGGACCACGACCGAUCCGGGUUAUCGAAAAUCCGAGAUAGCCGGAGAAUAUGGUAAAAAUUAAUAAAAUACGGUAUACUUACAGAUAAACUCCGUUAGAAUUGAAAUAACAUGAAAUAUUUUUAUAAAUAUGCACAGUACAUAUUACCUACUCAUUACAAUUCUAAAAAAAACACCAAACCCAAACAAUACAAGACACACAAUACUAAAGACCAUUGUUUAUAAAAGAAUUUUUUAAAUAGUCUUUCCUAAACAAUGCUGACAGUUUGAAAUAAAAAGGAAUCGAUACUACAGACAGCUGGCUGUUGUUUCUGCGGCGUGUACUAUGAGUAAUUUUUAAUCUCGUGUUCAAAUUACACACAUAAGUACACGACACAGAGAGUCUAGACACAUUAUCUCUCAAAUAUUAUAUUACAUACACUUUUAUUGUUGAAAGGAUUGUCUGAUAAUUAACUAUUUUGAUUGGAAAUAAGCCACAAUUAAAUUGAAAAAUACAAAAUAUUGAAAAUCAAAAUGUUUAUCUGAUGAAAAUCGGUCCGGGUUAGCCGGACUUCCGGGAUAUCGGGGGCCGACUUAUCGGGGUUCCACUGUACCUUUAUUUCUCUCAAUAUCAAAAAUUCUUAUGAUAAAAAGUUGUUUGGAAUUAAAAACUAAGGUCAAAUAUGCAAUUACAUGCUUCUAAUUGAAAAAAAAAUUUUUUCUCAAAUUUAUGGAUACCCAACAUCGUUUUUAAUUAUUACAAAUAUGAUAACUCUUUUAUUAUUCAUUUUACGAAAAAAAGUUAUUCUUCAUAAAAAGCUUUGCAUGGUGUAAAAUCUAAGACACAACCAUGAUAUAUCAACUUUUAUUAAUUUUAUACGAGGUGUGUCAAAAAAUAUGAAAUUCGCUCAAGAUUAUAGUACCUUUAUAUUUCACAAUAUUUCAAUUAGAAGGAUGUAAUUUCAUAUUGAAACAUAGUUUUUAAUUCUAAACAACUUUUUUAAUAACCGUUUUCAAUAUUGUGAAAAAUAAAGAUACUUUACUCUUGAGUGAAAUUCAUAUUUUUUGACAUACCUCGUAUAAAAUUAAUAAAAUGUGAUAUCUGAUGGUUGCAUCUUCGGUCUUAGGACAUACAGAGCUUUUUAUACGGAAUACCUUUUUUUCGCAAAAGUAAUAAUAAAAGAGUUAUCCUAUGUGUAAUAAAUAAAUACGAAGUAUCAAUAAAUUUGAGAAAAAUUUGGAAAAUAUUUUUUCCAAUAAGAAGCAGGUAAUUGAAUAUUUUAUCUUAGUUUUUGUUUCUAAACAACUUUUCAUAAUAAUAAUUUUCGAUAUUGAGAGAAAUAAAGGUACUUUACCCUUGACCGAAAUUCAUAUUUUUUGACAUACCUCGUAUAAUAUUGAGAAAAUUUAUUAUCUGAUGAUUGAAUCUUAGGUUUUGGGGCAUGCAGAACUUUUUAUAAAGAAUAACUUUUUUCGUAAAAUGAAUAACAAAAAAGUUUCCCAUAUGUUUCCAACUUAAGUAGACACGCAUAAUAGGUAUAUUAUCUCAUAAUAUUACAUCUCAUAUUGUUCACUACAUUAGUAAUGAGUGAGCAAUAUGAGAUAUAACAUAUUAUAGUAUAAGUCUCUGUGCAUGACCAGAUUAACAUGUUUGGUGCCCAUCUCGAACAAGCUCCACUUGGCUGGUACCACAUACUUAAAUCAUUUAUUUAGUUACACAGUACUACUCACAUAACUUAUGUGUCGUCAGUACCUUCCGUAAAACCUUCGUGAUGCUACCCAUACGUCAUGGCCACUGAAUGUGUUAAAGCUUGUUAAUGUAGGAGAGUUAUACUAAAAUAUGUAUCUUAUAUUAUAUUGCCUUAAAUAGAAAAAAUAUCUUAUUUAAAUUGUAUCCAUGUAAGUUUUGAUUUAAUGAAAUAAACCUUUUAAUCAAAAAAG
This 4331-nucleotide long non-coding RNA is filed under the name Diabrotica virgifera virgifera (western corn rootworm). RNAcentral's name for it is "uncharacterized LOC126879784". The record is from RNAcentral. Lineage: Eukaryota; Metazoa; Arthropoda; Insecta; Coleoptera; Chrysomelidae.